Molecule: ribosomal RNA, 547 nt
Filed under: beta proteobacterium R2-Apr-MIB-4
Lineage: Bacteria; Pseudomonadati; Pseudomonadota; Betaproteobacteria
Description: bacterial SSU rRNA
Rfam family: Bacterial small subunit ribosomal RNA
Source: RNAcentral
GGACAUGGGGGAAACCCUUGAUCCARCCCAUCCCGSGUGUAUURAUKAAGGCCUUCGGGUUGUAAARKACUUUUGGCARARAAGAAAAGGUAUUCUCCUAAUACGAGAUACUGCUUGACGGUAUCUGCAGAAUAAGCACCGGCUAACUACGUGCCAGCAGCCCGCGGUAAUACGUAGGGUGCAAGCCGUUAAUCGGAAUUACUGGGCGUAAAGCGUGUGUAGGCGGUUCGGAAAGAAAGAUGUGAAAUCCCAGGGCUCAACCUUGGAACUGCAUUUUUAACUGCCGAGCUAGAGUAUGUCAGAGGGGGGUAGAAUUCCACCGUGUAGCAGUGAAAUGCGUAGAUAUGUGGAGGAAUACCCGAUGGCGAAGGCAGCCCCCUGGGAUAAUACUGACGCUCAGACACGAAAGCGUGGGGAGCAAACAGGAUUAGAUACCCUGGUAGUCCACGCCCUAAACGAUGUCAACUAGCUGUUGGGGCCGUUAGGCCUUAGUAGCGCAGCUAACGCCGUGAAGUUGACCCSCCUGGGGAGUACGGUCGCAAGAUUA